GAUGAACGCUGGCGGCGUGCCUAAUACAUGCAAGUCGAGCGGAAGGACGCUAAGCUUGCUUCUCUGUCGUUAGCGGCGGGCGGGUGAGUAACACGUGUAUAACCUACCUAUCAUACUGGGAUAACUUCGGGAAACCGUAGCUAAUCCCGUAUAAUAUUUUGCUCCGCAUGGUUCAAAGGUGAAAUACGGUCUUGCUGUCACUAAUAGCUGCUUCCGCGCUGCAUUAGCUAGUUGGUACGGUAACGGCUUACCAAGGCAACGAUGCAUAGCCGACCUGAGGGGGGGAUAGGCCACAUGGGAGCUGGGCCAGGGUCCAGACUACUGAGGGACGCAGCAGUAGGGAAUGGGACGCAAUGGUGGAGAGCAUGACGGAGCGACGGCGCGUGAGUGAUGAAGGUGUUGGGAUCGUAAAGCCCGGUUAUUGGUGAAGAACAUAUGUGGAAGGAGAUGUGCACAUAGUGACGGUACCGGGUAAGAAAGCAACGGCUAACUACGUG
This 497-nucleotide ribosomal RNA is filed under the name uncultured bacterium. RNAcentral describes it as "partial 16S ribosomal RNA". It matches the Rfam family "Bacterial small subunit ribosomal RNA", at positions 28 to 507 of the family's 1533-position model. The record is from RNAcentral.